RNAcentral lists this ribosomal RNA (460 nucleotides) under uncultured bacterium. Its description in RNAcentral is "partial 16S ribosomal RNA". It matches the Rfam family "Bacterial small subunit ribosomal RNA", at positions 338 to 795 of the family's 1533-position model. The record is from RNAcentral.
CCUACGGGAGGCAGCAGUGAGGAAUAUUGGUCAAUGGGCGCGAGCCUGAACCAGCCAAGUAGCGUGAAGGAUGACUGCCCUACGGGGUGUAAACUUCUUUUAUAAAGGAAUAAAGUGAGGCACGUGUGCCAUUUUGUAUGUACUUUAUGAAUAAGGAUGGGCUAACUCCGUGCCAGCAGCCGCGGUAAGACGGAGGAUCCGAUCGUUAUCCGGAUUUAUUGGGUUUAAGGGGGGCGUAGAUGGGUUGUAAAGUCAGUUGUGAAAGUUUGCGGCUCAACCGGAAAAUUGCAAUUGAUACUGGCAGUCUUGAGUACAGUUGAGGUAGGAGGAAUUCGUGGUGUAGCGGUGAAAUGCUUAGAUAUCACGAAGAACUCCGAUUGCGAAGGCAGCUUACUAAACUGCCACUGACAUUGAUGCUCGAAAGUGUGGGUAUCAAACAGGAUUAGAUACCCGUGUAGUC